Molecule: ribosomal RNA, 1501 nt
Filed under: metagenome
Description: bacterial SSU rRNA
Rfam family: Bacterial small subunit ribosomal RNA
Source: RNAcentral
AGAGUUUGAUCAUGGCUCAGAAUGAACGCUGGCGGCAUGCCUAACACAUGCAAGUCGUGCGAGAACCGAGAAGCUUGCUUUUCGGGGAGAGCGGCGCACGGGUGAGUAACGCGUGGAUAACGUACCUAAGGGUUAGGGAUAACCAGCUGAAAGGCGGGCUAAUACCUAAUACGAUCAUAAGAAGGAUGCUUCUUUUGAAGAAAGCGGGGCAACUCGCGCCCAUAGAUCGGUCCGCGUCCCAUCAGCUUGUUGGUAGGGUAACGGCUUACCAAGGCUACGACGGGUAACUGGUCUGAGAGGACGAUCAGUCACACUGGAACUGAGACACGGUCCAGACUCCUACGGGAGGCAGCAGUGGGGAAUAUUGGUCAAUGGGCGAAAGCCUGAACCAGCAAUGCCGCGUGGGUGAUGAAGGCCUUCGGGUUGUAAAGCUCUGUCGGGGGAGACGAAAAAAUCGUUUAACAAACGAUCUUGACGGUACCCCCAAAGGAAGCACCGGCUAACUCUGUGCCAGCAGCCGCGGUAAUACAGAGGGUGCAAGCGUUGUUCGGAAUUACUGGGCGUAAAGCGCGUGUAGGCGGCUUUGCAAGUCGGACGUGAAAUCCCUCGGCUCAACCGAGGAACUGCGUCCGAUACUGCAAAGCUAGAGUAUCGGAGGGGAUGGCGGAAUUCCUGGUGUAGAGGUGAAAUUCGUAGAUAUCAGGAGGAACACCUGUGGCGAAAGCGGCCAUCUGGAAGAUUACUGACGCUGAGACGCGAAAGCGUGGGGAGUAAACAGGAUUAGAUACCCUGGUAGUCCACGCCGUAAACGAUGAGUGCUAGGUGUUGCGGGUAUUGACCCCUGCAGUGCCAAAGCUAACGCGUUAAGCACUCCGCCUGAGGAGUACGGUCGCAAGAUUAAAACUCAAACGGAAUUGACGGGGGCCCGCACAAGCGGUGGAGCAUGUGGUUUAAUUCGACGCAACGCGAAGAACCUUACCUGGGUUUGAACUGCAGUGGACAGGUGUAGAGAUACACUCUUCCUUCGGGACCACUGUGGAGGUGCUGCAUGGCUGUCGUCAGCUCGUGUCGUGAGAUGUUGGGUUAAGUCCCGCAACGAGCGCAACCCUUGCCAGUAGUUACCAGCGGCUAGGCCGGGAACUCUACUGGGACUGCCGGUGUUAAACCGGAGGAAGGUGGGGAUGACGUCAAGUCCUCAUGGCCCUUAUGUCCAGGGCUACACACGUGCUACAAUGGUCGUUACAAUGGGUUGCCAAGCCGCGAGGUGGAGCUAAUCUCAAAAAAACGACCUCAGUUCAGAUUGCAGUCUGCAACUCGACUGCAUGAAGUCGGAAUCGCUAGUAAUCGCGGAUCAGAAUGCCGCGGUGAAUACGUUCACGGGCCUUGUACACACCGCCCGUCACACCAUGGGAGUCAGCUGCUCCAGAAGCACCUGUGCCAACCGUAAGGAGGCAGGGUACCAAGGAGUGGUUGGUAACUGGGGUGAAGUCGUAACAAGGUA